UCCAAAUGUUGAGUCUUACAACUCAUAAUGAAAGCAUUUCCUCCUCGCAGUGUCCUGCAGGAGAGGCCGUGCUCAAUGAGGUGCAGCUGCCUUGUCAGCGCUGUGCCAAUGCGGUGGGAGGGAAACAAGGAGGACGCCAGAUGGCAAUAACACUUAGUGCUCUUCACUGAAGAUACCUUUCGAAUAAGUCUCUAAGUGCAGCAUUAAAGAAGUGGUGACUAAUUGAGGCCUGACGAGCCAAGUUCAGUUCAAAAGUAGUGAUUAAUAAUGAAUCAGCCAAUAACUGACUGCCUCAGAACGAGUCACCAAGUGCUGUAUUUGAUUAGAAAUUUAAAAAAAUACUCCCAUCACUGAAGUGAUAUGUAUUUUUACAGUGUUACAGUAAUUUGAGUAGCGUCCAGCUAACAAGAGUGGUUGGCAUGCGGCGAGCGGCGUGGGCCAGGAAACAGCUGAUGAUGAAGGAUUAGGGUCGGCCCAGUGGAAUGGAGCCGACCGAGGAGUUCGUACAUACCAGGAGUCUGAUACCCGCUGAGAAACAUCCUAAAAGUUUUCACAGGGUUUGGUGGCUGCACACGAUGUCUCGAUGGUACUAAACUGCAAAUAAAAUGAAGCACCCAUCUGAAAACUGAGGGACAGCCACAGCCUGGUUUCCUUUGCCACCUAGGAUGAGGCUGCCACCACCACGUUUUUCCAGGAACUUACCAGGCUUUUAAUCUUCCAUCUUGCCACUUAUCCUACAUGACACAGUCAUUAUAAAGAACUGUGUACAACACAAAACAGGCAGAAAUUCCUGCAGCUCUUUUACCGUUGCUUACACUUUUUGGCAGUGUCCUUCAUCAGUUCUCCUCUGGUCUAUUCAUGAAUUUGGGAGGCAUGUCCAUUUCUAAGUGAGGCUCCGGUAACAUCUUAUCUUCACUUGUUGAUGACACUCUUUUCUAUGUACCACAGCAUAUACAAAGUCCUGAAAGCUCACUAUACAUUUUGCCUGACUGAG
This is a long non-coding RNA of Phyllopteryx taeniolatus (common seadragon), 994 nucleotides long. RefSeq lists it as uncharacterized. The record is from RefSeq and is a predicted model, not a curated record. The transcript has 3 exons. NCBI's taxonomy places the organism in Eukaryota, Metazoa, Chordata, Actinopteri, Syngnathiformes, Syngnathidae.